UUACCACAAUGCUUCAGACCAAGGAAAGCCACCUUCCCAGAGAGAAUCCCCAGCUCCCUGCAAUGACUGACAUGGACCCACAGUCCUUGAGGAAUCGCCACACUGUCUUCAUCAAAAACGAUGAGUUUGUGUCCCUUGUAGGGACAAGGAGGAACCUGGAGACCAUCAUUCUCAGCAAACUGACACAAGAACAGAAAAUCAAACACUGCAUGUUCUCACUCAUAGAUCACUGCUGUUUCUUUGAGAAGUAGCUCUUGGCCUUAGUGGAGACUGAACACCUAACCAUGGGUCACUGAGCUGCAAUCGGAACUGCCCACCAUGAGCUGGGUUUUGUCUGAUCCACCAAGCCAAAGCUGGAGUACACAGCAGCUCUCUGUUACCAAAGGGAAGUGGGAUGUCAGUGAUGACACCCAUGUGCCCUCAGAAAGGAACCAAUCAACUACAUGAAGAAGUGGCCCAAAGGCCCAUGGUUUUCACCCGUACAAUGCUGCCCUCGCUCUUCUGCACCUAUGGCCUCGUGGGGAGUUCCCUACAAUAAGAUGAGAGGAAGACUCAGGCCCGGUUUAUGGAUGGUUCUGCAUGAUUUUCAGGCACCAUCUGAAAGUGGAGGCUGCAGUACCACAGACCCUCUCUGGGACAUCCCUGAAGGUCAGUGUUGAAGGGAAGUCCCCCCAAUGGGCAGAACUUGGAGCAGUACACCUGGUGGCUCACUUUGCUUAGAAGGAGAAGUGACCGUAUGUGUAAUUAUAUACCUAUUCAUGGGCUCUAGCUAAUAGCUUGGCUGGUGGUCAGAGACUUGGAUAGAACAUGAUGGGAAAAUUGAUGACAAGGAAAUUGGUGGAGGAGAUAGGUGGACAGAGCUCUUUGAAUGGUCAAAGACAUGAAGAUAUUUGUUUCAUGUAAAUGCUCACAAAAAGUGACCUCAAUAGAGAAGGACUUUAAUAAUCAAAUGGUUAGAAAGACCUGCUGUGUGAGUAGCAGUCAGCCUCCUUCCCUAGCCACCCUGUCAUCACCCGAUGGGCUCAUGAGCAAAGUCACAGUGGUGGCAGGGGUGGAAGUCAUGCAUGGUCUCAGCAACUCACCAAGGCUGGCCUGGCUCUAGCCACUGCCGAGUGCCCAUCAAUCAUAUGCAGAGACUGUCACUAAGCCCCUCAUAUGGCACUAU
This 1165-nucleotide long non-coding RNA is filed under the name Callithrix jacchus (white-tufted-ear marmoset). Its description in RNAcentral is "lncRNA (ENSCJAG00000070805.1)". Lineage: Eukaryota; Metazoa; Chordata; Mammalia; Primates; Cebidae. The record is from RNAcentral.